AUGAAUUGCAUCGUGUGGAACUGUCGAGGUGUGGGGAAUGCUUCGACGGUUCGGGAUCUCGUGGCUCUCUCUCUCGCCCAUUCCCCAAGUAUGAUAUUCUUAUGUGAAACUAGACAACAGAAAGAUAAGAUGUAUCAUCUUCGUAAUAGACUCGGUCUUCGUGGCUUUGAAGGAAUAAGCAGUGAGGGUAAUAGCGGUGGUCUAGCCUUAUUUUGGGAUGAAUCUUUGCACGUCGAUAUUCGUGACUGCAAUAAAAGGUGGAUUGAUGCGAAUAUUCGGUUGCCCGCUGAUGAUCAAGUUUGGAGAGUUACUUUUGUCUAUGGUGAACCGCGAGUGGAAAAUAGACACUUAAUGUGGGAGGGAUUGAAAAGACUAAAAGCCCAGGAUGAUUUGCCUUGGCUCUUGGCAGGAGAUUUUAAUGAAGUUAUGUGGGACUACGAACAUCUGCCAGAGACACCGAGAUCGCUUGGACAGAUGAUUGCUUUUAGGGAUGUGCUUGAAGCUUGCAACUUAGCUGAUUUGGGGUUCUCUGGCUACCCCUUCACUUAUGAUAAUAAGCGCAGCGGAAGAGCGAAUGUACAAGUCAGACUUGAUAGAGUGGUUGCGGAUAACAGGUGGAGGUAUAAGUUCCCUGAAGCAUCAGUAAAACACUUGGUGUCUUCCUGUUCGGACCAUCUUCCCCUACUGAUGCGAUGCAUCCCUGAGUCCGGAGGUAGGGAGAGAUGUGUUCGUCGCUACGAGGUUAUGUGGGGAGAGAGGCCGCCCUAG
RNAcentral lists this ribosomal RNA (768 nucleotides) under Triticum aestivum (bread wheat). RNAcentral's name for it is "partial small subunit ribosomal RNA". Lineage: Eukaryota; Viridiplantae; Streptophyta; Magnoliopsida; Poales; Poaceae. The record is from RNAcentral.